AUUGAACGCUGGCGGCAUGCCUUACACAUGCAAGUCGAACGGCAGCACGGGAGCUUGCUCCUGGUGGCGAGUGGCGAACGGGUGAGUAAUACAUCGGAACGUACCCUGAAGUGGGGGAUAACGUAGCGAAAGUUACGCUAAUACCGCAUAUUCUGUGAGCAGGAAAGAGGGGGAUCGCAAGACCUCUUGCUUUAGGAGCGGCCGAUGUCGGAUUAGCUAGUUGGUGAGGUAAAGGCUCACCAAGGCGACGAUCCGUAGCGGGUCUGAGAGGAUGAUCCGCCACACUGGGACUGAGACACGGCCCCAGACUCCUACGGGAGGCAGCAGUGGGGAAUUUUGGACAAUGGGCGCAAGCCUGAUCCAGCCAUGCCGCGUGAGUGAAGAAGGCCUGGUGUAAGCUCUUCGUGGGAGAA
RNAcentral lists this ribosomal RNA (413 nucleotides) under uncultured bacterium. RNAcentral describes it as "bacterial SSU rRNA". It matches the Rfam family "Bacterial small subunit ribosomal RNA", at positions 30 to 445 of the family's 1533-position model. The record is from RNAcentral.